CUACGUGCCAGCAGCCKCGGUAAUACGGAGGGUGCAAGCGUUAAUCGGAAUUACUGGGCGUAAAGCGCACGCAGGCGGUUUGUUAAGUCAGAUGUGAAAUCCCCGCGCUUAACGUGGGAACUGCAUUUGAAACUGGCAAGCUAGAGUCUUGUAGAGGGGGGUAGAAUUCCAGGUGUAGCGGUGAAAUGCGUAGAGAUCUGGAGGAAUACCGGUGGCGAAGGCGGCCCCCUGGACAAAGACUGACGCUCAGGUGCGAAAGCGUGGGGAGCAAACAGGAUUAGAUACCCUGGUAGUCCACGCUGUAAACGAUGUCGACUUGGAGGUUGUGCCCUUGAGGCGUGGCUUCCGGAGCUAACGCGUUAAGUCGACCGCCUGGGGAGUACGGCCGCAAGGUUAAAACUCAAAUGAAUUGACGGGGGCCCGCACAAGCGGUGGAGCAUGUGGUUUAAUUCGAUGCAACGCGAAGAACCUUACCUACUCUUGACAUCCAGAGAAUUCGCUAGAGAUAG
RNAcentral lists this ribosomal RNA (509 nucleotides) under uncultured bacterium. RNAcentral describes it as "bacterial SSU rRNA". It matches the Rfam family "Bacterial small subunit ribosomal RNA", at positions 501 to 1009 of the family's 1533-position model. The record is from RNAcentral.